RNAcentral lists this ribosomal RNA (484 nucleotides) under uncultured bacterium. Its description in RNAcentral is "partial 16S ribosomal RNA". It matches the Rfam family "Bacterial small subunit ribosomal RNA", at positions 30 to 507 of the family's 1533-position model. The record is from RNAcentral.
AUUGAACGCUAGCGGGAUGCUUUACACAUGCAAGUCGAACGGCAGCGCGGACUUCGGUCUGGCGGCGAGUGGCGAACGGGUGAGUAAUGUAUCGGAACGUGCCCAGUAGCGGGGGAUAACUACGCGAAAGCGUAGCUAAUACCGCAUACGCCCUACGGGGGAAAGCAGGGGAUCGUAAGACCUUGCACUAUUGGAGCGGCCGAUAUCGGAUUAGCUAGUUGGUGAGGUAACGGCUCACCAAGGCGCCGAUCCGUAGCUGGUUUGAGGGGACGACCAGCCAAACUGGGAACUGGACAAGGGCCAAGCUCCCUAGGGAAGGCACAGGUGGGAAAUUUUGAACAUGGGGGCAACCCUGAUCCAGCCAUCCCGCGUGUGCGAUGAAGGCCUUCGGGUUGUAAAGCACUUUUGGCAGGAAAGAAACGUCGCGGGCUAAUACCCCGUGGAACUGACGGUACCUGCAGAAUAAGCACCGGCUAACUACGUG